CCCAUUCCAACUGUCUGGCAGACCCACACUUAGAAACCAAAAUCCCUUUUCUCCCAAAAAUCUUAUCUCAACAAUGGCGGCAACAUCAACUCACCCACGCAAUCUUCGAUUUCCAACAAAGGGUUUUUAGAAAAUCUUGAUUUCAGAAAGUAUGAGUUACCAAAAUCCAGGGGUUUUGGACUUCAACAGAAAUUUUAUUGCUUCUGGUAUUAAAGAUAAUAACAAUGCGGUCUCGACCACUGAAUCUUCACCUUCGUGGGGCAGGUCUAGGACGUCAUACAGUUUCUGUAUCUGUUGGUGAUGAAAGUGGAAUGAGAAACUGAAUUGCGGGAGUAUUUUCUAGAAGCUAGGGGUUACAGUUUAAACAUAUACUUUAGUUCUUUUGACCAAAGCCUUUUGUCAAGUCUCAAUUCUUCUUCUUCAAUUUAGAGAGAGAAAUGACAUCACAUCAGGGUCCCGAUGAUUCUGCACCGCUCGUAUUGGUACUCUUGUUGGGUUUGUUGUGUUCAGAACUGAUGAAUUUGUGCUGGUUAUGAAAUAUUGGUAAGACCGUUUUCUUUGCAACUAGUAGUAUAAGAAACCAAAUUUAGUAAUGCAUGUGGAAAGAUUACCUGGUUGAUCCAUACCGAAUGCUCCUAAACCUGCCACCAGUAUACUAUGUCUAUGUUUCUUUAAUUUUCCAUAUGAUGAGAUGUGCUGUUAUACGAAAUUCGCAAACAUGUGAAAUCUGAAUGAGGCAUAUGAUUUAGAAAUUCAAUUAAGAUGUUUUAUGAUCUUUAGGUCCAUUUAAAAAGAAUCUGAAUAUUCAAUUAAGAUGUUCGACGAAAUGUCGCUGUAUAGCUGGUUUAGUUUUAAAUUGGGGUUAGGAUAUAAUGUCAUUAACUAUUUCUUAAACUCAUUUUGGUAAACAAAUCAAGUGCGUUAAUUACCUAUUCCAUGACCCUGAGCCUAUUUGAAGACUAAACGAUUCCUUUUACAAAAUCAUUACUGUAAUUCAAUGCAAAUUUUAUAGAAGUAAAGCUCAAAUUUUGCGCAUUAAAGAGGUCACGUGCACAAUCUUCUAUAUCUGUUGUAGGUUCAGUAUAUUUAGGGCCCCGAAUCCCCAAGAGCAAGGAGAUUAUGCAAGUAGCUAACCAUGUUCUCCCAAAUUUCGCAUAUCAGAUCACCAAAGCCCACAUGUUUCUUCAUUGCUUUCGUAGUAUUUGAUUUAUGCUCGGAAUGAUUAUAAUAUAAAUUGUCACAAUGUUGAUUUCUUUCUCCCAAAAUCUACAAUGUUGAUUUAUGCUUUAUUCAAUUGCAAUUUGCCGAUGUUUUCAACUAAAUUCUCUAAGAACCUUAGAAAUUCGGAAAGAUGACCAUGACUAGUUAAUUCUUGUUCUUCAGAAAUGUUGAGCUGCUCAAGGCUGUUUUAGAACAGUGCACCUCAUCUCACGAAACUCAAAUACAGUUUUAUUGAUUGCAUUAUGAUGGGCUAAUGUUGAUAGUCGUAAUACACAAGAAUAAAGUCAAUAAAUAUAAUAUAAGCUUAUAGAUCUUGAGAUAUCUCACUCUGACACCUAAGCAGUACAGACCACAUUUGAAAAUCAGUAAGUCCAAUAUCUUUAGCACGGUUUUCAAUUGUUUUUGUGAGCCUUCUUUACCAGCAGGGUUCUGCGCUAACAUAAUGUUGUCUAAAUAGAUUACACCACGACCUGCAAUAUUACUGUCUGGCACUUCAGGUAUAAUGAAUUCAACAAUAAUCACUUUCCCAUCUUUAAGGUAAUGCAGCUUAACAAUUAUUCAAGAUUUUAAUACUGUGUUCGUCACUCCAAUCAUGAAGAAUCCAUUUCAUGAAAGUUGCUUCUGCAUUUGGACCACUGGCAAACAUGUCACCACUGAUUUGCUUGAUACCUGGGAAUGAUGGGGCGUCUACGAUUACGUGUAGUAAGUUGAAGUUAAUAUCUGUAAACGUACAUAUGAAAUGCGUGUGUCAGUUACUGAAUAAUAUGUAUCCAUUAGGCUCAUAAACCAAAAUUAGGUAGAAAAACAGAAUUCAUUCUGUUGUUAUAUUGCAUCACCUAAUGUAAGAUAAAUGAUCAGACAAACCUUUGACUGUGGGGUAUGGUAUUUUAGAUGAUCAUACUAAGGCUUGCAACUAGACUUCCAGCUACGAUUUCUCUAAACCAUUGUAGGUUUCAAGGGUUUUGUUCAUGGUGAUAGUUGUUUGAUCAGACUCUCCCUUGUUGAAUACCUUGUUGAACUUGAGGUCUGUUCCAUGGUAUUCAAAUGCUGCAUACCAGAAAGCUUUGUUUAGUGAAAUUCCUCCAUUUAAGGAUUGCAUCUUUCAAUUGGUACCUGAAAAUGAAUUUCUGAGACUGUCAGGCCUGCACGCUGUAUGUAGGAUGGUUCCAUUGGUUAGUCCUUGAAUUUAUAUGACCGUGUUUAUAUAACUACAAAGAUCGGACUUAAAAAUUAAUUUGCAGCAAACAGUGCAGUCUAAUUAGUAAUGUCACUGCAGAUUCGAUUGGUUAAAUUUUCGAUCUUUAUGUAUCUAGUGCCUCUGUAAAUUAUAGUAUUUACCAUUCUACAAAAAAUAUUGUGAUAUCCAUUUGUAGAAUGUCUUAGAGAUUGGUAUUUCAUCUUGAUUUCCCUUAUUAACUACCUGUUACUGGUUUCUGUGUUUUCUGUUAUGACUUGUUCCGCCAAUCAAAAUUUUGUCCUCUCUGGAACUGCCUUCAAAAUAACAGUCUCUUCUUAGGAAUUUGUAGAAUGAUAAAUAUUUAUGUUGACGAGGGAUUCAGUUCCGCUCUUUCUUAUCUUGGUUUAUAAUCAGAGGGUUAAGCUAUCUCGAUGGAAUCAAUUUUCUGUUUAUUCAGGACUAAAUUCAACGUUGAUGUGGUCUGAACUUGUCCAGGGACUCGCGAGUAAAAUUCACUCAUGAAUGUAAAUACUGCUUGAUAAAUUGUUGAUACAGAUGAGAUGCAGCAAGAUUGUGUGCAAAUGGAUUAUGGAGACUUGCUUCAAAAGGUGAGCUGCAUCCUAUCUGACUUCUUUGGCAUCGGCAUAUCAAUACUGAUGGGAUAACUGGAGAUUUCAGAUAAAUAUAUAAAUCCAUGAACUCAACACCAGAUGUCUUCAGAAAUUCAUUAAAGAUGUUAAAGAUUGAACUUUCCGGUCUAUUAGUUCCCAUUCUCAAGACAAACAUCACAGGAAAAUUUGGUUCUUGAUCUUCAAGAUAUUCUUCGUUGCUUUUGACAACAUUUGUAACAUCUCGUUCGGGUUUGAUCCUGAUUCCUGCCUGCGUUUCAGCUUCACUUGAUUGGGACGAUUUUGCUAUUGCCUUUGAAGAUGCUACACAAAUUAGCCCUGAGACUUGAUUUGGUUAAUAAACCAGCCUAUUAUUUAGGAACGGAGUGAUAUUGAUAUACUAUCUUAGCCUGGCCAAAUUAGAAAAGCAAAGUAACUGUUUUUUCCAGAAACAGGGGGAGUAUAAAUCAUCAUCAUCAUCUUUCCCUACAAGUCUCAUCAUCAUCUUCCCUGUAAGUCUUCAACAGAUUCGAUAUAACUCAUCACUGUACUCAGUGUAGUAUCCGAGCUAUAUCCAUAAUCAUAUACUUUUAAGCGGCAAGAGCCCAAGAAUUCAAAUGUAAAAUCUUUACCGCCGGCCACAGUGCAAGGACGGACCCAGGUUAAAAUGAAUCCAACAUCUUCAUC
Long non-coding RNA from Papaver somniferum (opium poppy), 3693 nucleotides. RefSeq lists it as uncharacterized. NCBI's taxonomy places the organism in Eukaryota, Viridiplantae, Streptophyta, Magnoliopsida, Ranunculales, Papaveraceae. The transcript has 5 exons. The record is from RefSeq and is a predicted model, not a curated record.